AACGCGAAGAACCUUACCGGGGUUUGACAUGCACGCGCACCGCCCAGAGAUGGGCGUGCCCGCAAGGGACGCGUGCACAGGUGCUGCAUGGCUGUCGUCAGCUCGUGCCGUGAGGUGUUGGGUUAAGUCCCCCAACGAGCGCAACCCCUAUCGUUGGUUGUAUUUUUCCAGCGAAACUGCCCGCAAGGGAGGAAGGAGGGGAUGACGUCAAGUCAGCACGGCCCUUACAUCCCGGGCUACACACACGCUACAAUGGCUGGUACAAUGGGCCGCCAACCCGCAAGGGGGAGCCAAUCCCAGCAAAGCCAGCCUCAGUUCAGAUUGGCGGCUGCAACCCGCCGCCAUGAAGGUGGAGUUGCUAGUAACCGCAGGUCAGCACACUGCGGUGAAUACGUUCCCGGGCCUUGUACACACCGAGACGAC
RNAcentral lists this ribosomal RNA (423 nucleotides) under uncultured bacterium. Its description in RNAcentral is "bacterial SSU rRNA". It matches the Rfam family "Bacterial small subunit ribosomal RNA", at positions 958 to 1398 of the family's 1533-position model. The record is from RNAcentral.